This 77-nucleotide transfer RNA is filed under the name Robiginitomaculum sp. RNAcentral describes it as "tRNA-Pro". It matches the Rfam family "tRNA". Rfam says of the family: Transfer RNA (tRNA) molecules are approximately 80 nucleotides in length. Their secondary structure includes four short double-helical elements and three loops (D, anti-codon, and T loops). Further hydrogen bonds mediate the characteristic L-shaped molecular structure. tRNAs have two regions of fundamental functional importance: the anti-codon, which is responsible for specific mRNA codon recognition, and the 3' end, to which the tRNAs corresponding amino acid is attached (by aminoacyl-tRNA synthetases). tRNAs cope with the degeneracy of the genetic code in two manners: having more than one tRNA (with a specific anti-codon) for a particular amino acid; and 'wobble' base-pairing, i.e. permitting non-standard base-pairing at the 3rd anti-codon position. The record is from RNAcentral. Lineage: Bacteria; Pseudomonadati; Pseudomonadota; Alphaproteobacteria; Maricaulales; Robiginitomaculaceae. RNAcentral also lists the same sequence under 3 other names.
CGGGGAGUGGCGCAGCCUGGUAGCGCAUCUGGUUUGGGACCAGAGGGUCGCAGGUUCAAAUCCUGUCUCCCCGACCA